Manis javanica (Malayan pangolin) is the source of this 1053-nucleotide non-coding RNA. The record is from RefSeq and is a predicted model, not a curated record. NCBI's taxonomy places the organism in Eukaryota, Metazoa, Chordata, Mammalia, Pholidota, Manidae.
AAGGAGUACUAUGACCUUUUGGAAGAAAUGAACAAAGGUUCCUAGCAGCUACCACUCUACUCUCUGUUUCUGUGUGUUUGGCUUUUUUGGAUUCCACAAAUAAAUGAGACAUGUAUGAAAUGCAUUUCAACCACUGUACAAUACUUCUAACAAAAGAAAACGUGUUCAGAACCAGAAGUAACACUCUGGAUUAACCUUCAAAUCCGAUACUAAUGUCCUGCAGGUCGAGUGCCUCCUCCUGACUUCCCCAUCUCCCCAAACCUACUGGGGGCUGCUUCUGCUGUUCCCACCACCACAGGGGAGAGAAGCAUCUACCUGAAGGUGCCACUGGAACUUGAGACGAACGCUGUGCCCUUCCUCUUCACAUUAACUGAAGGAAAACAGUGGACAAGAAUCACAGACAGCGUCUGCCAACACACUCGGAAAGCACAGAUAAACUAGCUCCCAGGCUCCAUGUGAGAACUCAGUCCUGUCUGAUACACUGGCCGCUCAGUCCUAGCCCGUACGGCGAGCAUCCUCCUGGCAUGACGACCUGCAAGGCCACGUGGGGAACAUGGAGCCCAGGAGGACAGAGCCUGGGUCCCCAAGUCACUGCUUGGAGGAGAGAUGUCCACUGAUCCAGAGACCAAUCUGGAUCAGAAACGAAUGUCUACUGAGUUUGAGCCUCUAUGUACUCCUGGGUUUGUUUAUUGCAGCAGUUAGGAGCACCUGUUUUCUACUAAUUUGCCAAAUAUUUCCUAAUUCAAGUACUUAUGUUAGGAAAAAAAACAUACCUUUAAAACACGGUGUUUUCAUUUCAUUUUGUCAAGGUAAGGUAUAGUUAGUUACAUAAACACCAGCGACAGACUUUGAAUUCAAAUUCGCUUAUCCUAAUGCAUUUCAGUCACUCCACACAAGGGGAAAGUCUACCUAUUCUAUCUGCUCCCUCUCCCUGGGUCCAUCACGUUCUGACAAUAUUCUCUAAAAUCUACUAAUGUAGAAGGUGGGGCCAUCAGAAAGGCAGGAAAUCAAAUGAGUUAUGAUCAUCAUAUCUUUACAUAAUCUUGCAACAGU